GCCUGGAUUGCAGACUGAUAAGACCUCGCUGGCUCACACAGUGCACAGGGCCCUGUCUGAGUUAGGGGCGGGUCUGAAUUGAGGGAAUACUAUUUGCCUAGUAGAAGUUAUAUGUGUCAUUAAAGAGAUUGUGAAAUUUGUAUCAUCUGUGGGAUUAUCAUUCUCCCAGCUACCCAGGCUGGAAAAAUUAGAAUCACUUUUAAAUUUUUUCCUUCCCUUUAUGCCCUAGAUAGAAGCAGUCACCAAGUCCAGCAUUGAAAACCAUCCCUCUCAGUGACUGCCUUCCUUUUGGGCCCUGCCGUCUCCAUGGCAUGGGUCAUCAUCGGGGAGGCAGCCGGAGGGAGGAUCCAUGGAGAUGGAGAAAGAGGACUCCCCAAGGGAAGAAUGAAGGAGGGAAGUGGCCAAGGCCCCUGCCAGGACCUUUGCGUGUGUUAUUUCACUCCAGCCUCACCACCUGUGUCACCCCCGUAUUACAGAGGAAGAAAUGGUCUCAGAGAAGGUAAGGAACAUGGUUUUCAGAACUUGUAAACAGUGGAGCUGAUUUCAAACCCAGGCGUGUCUGACUUGAAAGCUGUUGCCCUUUCUGCUACCCCAGGCUGACCUGUCGGGCUUGGCCUCGCUUUGGAGACACUUCCUCUUUAAACCCUGAUCAUUUCUUCCCGAGAGGGCUUGGCACAAGGAGUUGGAUCCUGGACCAACUCCACGGCUGUGUUCCUGGGGUUUGUUGCAGACUGAGUUUCCACGUUCUUGCCAUUACCCAGCUCUGGGCUGUGGUAUCAGAUGAGCCGCGGCUUUUGGCUCCCUGAGCCUGGCCAAAUGGCGCUGGCUGUGGUGCAGUCUACUUUCUGUCCUUGCAGGUAUGAGUGUGGUGGGAGCUCAGCACCAAACCCUAUCACCUUCCUUCUGUCAGGCAGCUGUCAUCGCCCCCACAGGCCUUUUCUUCACAGCUUGUUGUCAGGAGGCUGGCCAACAUCUUGGGAAGGUGAGAGAGGAAAUUGGGAGGCUGGGGCUGGAGGGAAUCCUGCCACCAGCGUUCUCUCUUCCCCUAGGUCUGAUGGAAAUAACACUGCUCCGGCACCCGGAGACCUGGCUGUGGCCCAGCCUCAGCUGCAUGUCAGCGGCAUGGCCCUGGAGACGACCCUGUGGGAGGCGACUGUCUGCUAUGGCGGAAGCCCGGGACACCCCUUCCUCGGGGAGCCUUUCCUUUCUCCUCUGGUGGCGAGGCUGAUGCCUCCUCCCUGACUUGGUGAGGACCGAGUGAAGUGGGAUAUGUGCUGUGCCUUGGAAACCGUCAAAUACCACCUAAAGUCUAGUGUCUUCAGUGAACUUCAGCCCCAUCCUGUGGCCUCCAGUUGUGUGAUACUAUCAGAUGGCCCCUUGCUGCUGGAGUGGAUGUUCUUGGCAAUGAAAAGAAGAAGUGGGGGCAAAGGUGAAGUAUGGGGCCUAGAUGCUUCUAGCAGUUUAGAUGAUGACUUCUCAGGAACUUGUUGUUAACUGCUCUGCACCCCCUGCGUUGAUUAGAUUCUGGUUCUCUGGGGCCAGUUUCUUCAUGCUGUCUGGAGCCCCAGCUUCGCACCUGGCUGACUCACCUUUUGCACUGAGUUCAGCACUGGAGAUGGAGAGGGGGUGGGGAGGAGAGGAGAAAUUUUAGUGCUGUAUGAAUUCAGUUGGAAAAAUAAUCAUACAGGAUUUAAGCAAAUCUCAUAUUGCCCCUGGAAUGGUUUUAGGUUUUUUUAUAAAACCCAACCAGCGUCAGCUGAUGCCCCAUCUCUUCAAGGUCAAACAUUCCAAGAUUCUAGAGCAAAGCUGUGUUCCCAGAUUUGUCUAGAAGCCCUUUCUCACCCCUCACCUUAACUGACGCCUGGAUGGUCCCCAUGAGGGAUUUCUUUUGCAGCCUCUCCCAAGCCUCCCAUUUGGAGAGUGGGGCUGCCCAGUUCCUUCUCUCCUGGUGUCACUUUGAGAUUACUGCUCAGAGGAACUUAUUCUUUUCUCAAGAGACUGUUUUCUUUUAAAGUUCACAAUGUUCAUUUUUUUCUUUGUUUGCUGCAAGGAGAACUCUGAUUCUGACUGAAAUUCUGCCAAUUAGAAAGAUUGUUUUCCAAUCGUCUUGAAAUUUUUCAGAGUUGCUCAAAGUGUUGGGAAAAUUGGAUGCCAGAAUUUGUAGAUCCCUGGCCGACCAAGAGACAUGGGCAGAAGGUGACCUGGUCUUCAGAGCUCUCACAAGAUCUCUGAGAGAGACCGGUAUGACAGUCCUUGGGGACCUUCCCCCUUUAUAAAUGCUGUGUUCAUUUUUUAAUAAGAUAUUUGACAUAUAUAAAAAUAAAAUAUAAUGUAUGUAAGGUGAAAAAAAUACUCCUGGACCACUCGCCCAACUUGAGAAAUAGAACGUUGCUGGAAUGAUGAAGCAGCCGCGGGCGCUCGCUGCUGGUUGUCCCCUCACCAAGAGGAACAUGUGUGUCUGUUGUUCUCUUGCCUGUCAUUGCAGUUUGAAAACGUGUUUAGUAAAAUGAAUAUAUUUGAUAAUUUUGUGUGCAUUUGAACUUUAUGUGAAUAGUAUCACACAGGGUAAUUUUUUGUGCCUUCUGUUUUUCAGGUUCAUCUGAAUUGAUGCCUUUAGCCAUAGUUAAUUCAUUUUUGCUGCUGAAUAGUAUUCCGUUAUAUGACUAUGCCACACUUUUUUUUACCAUCCCCUGCCUGUGUGCAUUUGGCUAUUUCCCAUUAUGCUAUUGAUAGUAAUGCUGCUGUAAAUAUUCUUGGCCAUGUUUCCUGGGCACGUGGACGAGAUUUUCUCCUGGGUCACAGUAUUUCCUUUUACCAUUUUCUCUAUAUUCUCAUCUUCUCUGCUAGGAUUCUCUCCUUCUUCAGUGAUGUCAUUUCUGGUUAUUGUCCUCAGAGACUCUGCUGCACACACCGAUGGUAUAAACGUAAACAAGCCACAGUGCCUUUCUUUGGUCCGCUCCAGGGUGGCGGAAUAACUGAUCACAGCAGUCACGUUGUGACCCACUUGAAACCCCGACGCUGGAUUCUUGGAGACGACUAUCUCGCCUCUGCCUUUCCCUGAAGAACUUUGCUGCUUUUACCAACAUCUCUCAUCAUUUGACUUCUGCCCCAGCCUCUGUGGAAGAUGCCCUCUCAGAGCUCACCAGUGACCUCCCAAGGAUCAAGGCUGAAGGCUGUGUCAUUGUCCUUCCUCACCUGGCUGCACCCCUGCCGUCUGAAACUCCUUCUUUGGUUUGCACAGCAUGCCACUGCCCCGAUCGUCCUCCCGACCCGUUCCUCGUCUGCCUUAUACUUCUUGUCUGUGUACGUUCCUUAGGUUCUACCUCGGAGAAAUCAUCCAUUCCUUCCAUUUUAGCCAAGACACAACCAUCUAACCCAGGAAAUUAACAUUAGUACCAUUUAACUCUCAGACCCUGUUUGAAUUUUACUUAUUGUCUGAGUAACGUCUUUUACAGCAACAGGACCUAACCUAGGAUCAGUCAUGUCUCAAUCUCCUUCAGUCUGGAUUUGUUCCUCAUCUUUCCUUGACUUCAUGAUCUUGAUGGUUUUGAAGACACAAGUCCAAUUAUUUUGUCAAAUGUCCCUCAGUUUUGGUUUACUGAUGUUUCCUCAUUAGAUUUAAGUGAUACGUCUUUGCUAGGAGUAUUCCAGAAGUGAUGCUGCAUUCCUUUCAUUGCACUACUAAAAGGCGUAGGAUUCAAAUGUAUCCCAUUACUGAUGACAUUAAUUUUGAUCGCUGGAUUAAGAUUGUAUCUCUCAGCCUUUUCCACUGUGAAAUUACUUCUCUCCUCUUUGUAGGUAAUGAAGUAAUUAAUGAAUAUAUAUGGGAAGCUGCUUUGAGACUCUGUAAAUAUCCUGUUAAUCAUCAAACUUUCAAUUUACUCUUUAUUUAUGUCAGUAUGAACUCAUGAAUUGCUAUUUUAUUCAAUGGAUUUUAAUCUAUUGUUAUUUAUUAUCAUCGUUUAUUUUGGUACUGAAUUGUCAAGCUGGCUUUAGAGUCCUUUUGACAUGUUCUGUCGUUCUUUGAAAACUGCCUUAUUUUCUGGCACAAAAAGUUGUUUCAGGUUCACCUUUUACUUUUUCUAUUCGGUCUUAGAAUUAGCCAUUUUUUUUUAAGGAAUGCGGUAUUCUUUUAGUGAAAAAUGGUAUUUAGAACCCAAAAUCUGGGUUCUUGAUGAGUUUGCUGCUGUUGGGGUGUUAUUGCUCCCACCCUCUCUCAGAGGGAAGAGCUAGGGAAUACACACAUUUACAUCUCUAUUUCUCUCUAUAUUGAUAACUAUGAGUUCACAUUUAUAUCUCUAAUUCAAAUCCAUAGGGUUCACUCUAGUUUUCUCCCUUUCCAUUUUCGUAACUGUGAUGGUUAAUUUUAUGUGUCAGUCUGACUGGGCUACGGGGCCCCCAGAUACUUGGUUAAACAUUAUACCGGUGUGUCUGUGAGGGUGUUUCUGGAUGAGAUAAGCAUUUGAAUUAAGUUUAGUAAAGCUGAUUGCCCUCCCCAGUGUGUGUGGGCCUCAUCCAACCCACUGAAGUCCUGAAUAGAACAAAAAGGCUGAGUAAGAACGAAUUCACUCUCUGCCUGACUGUCUUCGAGCUGGGACAUUGGUCUUCACCUGCCUUCGGACUUGGACUUGGACUUGGACUCAGGCUGACAGGUACACCAUUAGCUCUCCUAGUUCUCAGGCCUUUGGACUGGAGCUACACCAUUGGCUCUUCUGGGUCUCCAGUUUGCCAACAGCAGAUCUGGGGACUUCUCAGCCUCCAUAACCACGUGAGCCAAUUCCUUAGGAUAUAUCUCUUUAUAUCUGUAUUAUCUGUAUCGACAUCCACAUCUACAUCUAUAUCUAUAUUUACUUCUCCUGUUGGUUCUGUUUCUCUGGUGAAUCUAGACUAAUACAGCAUCCCAGUGAAAAGCCUGGGUUCUAUAAUUUUCAAUAUAUUUACCUGUUUGAUCAAUUGUCCUUUAUGUUAAUGAAUUCCCCUCAUUGCCACCACUCAACUCCUCCUUCAUGGAGAUCAUCCUUACCUCUCUGAGGCUCUGACAACGUGUGCUGUGUUGCCCUUUUGUACAGAUGGUCUCUUUGCCUAAGUUGGGCUCUGAGACCCCUCGGAGGGCCCAGGUCACCCUCUUAUGCUGACACCUGACACCCCUGGCUCAGGUUACUGUUCCUUCUCCCAUAGUGUGAAUGCCUACCUUCUCAACUCCACCAAUAGCUUUAGGACUGAAUUGUUCAGGAAGGAAAGGAAAGGGAAAGAAGAGAAGGGGAGGGGAGAGAAAUGGUAGUGAAGAGAAAGAAGAAGAGGAACAGGAAGAGGGACAUAAUUUUUCUUUCAAAAUCUAGUUCCUUCCUUCCAACUAUUUGCCAUUGGCACUGAUGCAUCCUACAGGCACUUUAAAAUCUACAUACCUAAAACUGCUCAUGUUUCCUUUCCAGUAAAACCUUUCUCUCUUCACUCUCCUAUGCUGCUGAUGGGAGUAUAAAUAGUUUAUUCUUUCUGGAGGACACUUUGGCAAUAUGGUUCAAAAGCCUUAAAAAAAAAUCCUAUGUUUCUUUUGACCUUGAAUUAUACUUUUAGGAAUUUAUACUAAAGAAAUAAUUAAAGAUGUACAGAGACAUUCAGAUUUAAGGAUGUUAAUUAUAGCUAAAAUUGGAAUUAUACAGAAUGUUUUGCAUGAGGGAGCAGAUAAAUUGGGAUAAACCCAUAAGUUAGGAUUCUAUGUCAUCAGUACAAUAAUGCUGAAUUACAAUCAUUGAUAUGGAAAGAUGUUCACUAUAUGAUAUUAAGUGAAAAAAACUGAUAAAAUGGAAUUAUCCCAAUUUAUUAUUAAAAUAUUAGAAAUAUAUAUGUAUAGGAGAAAAAACUUAGGAUGGUAUAUCAGAAGGGAAUUUUAAUAUUGAGAUUAUGGACUUUUUUUCACUCAAUAUUUUUAGUCUUUUCUUCACCAAAUACUUUUAUUUAUACAAAAAUCAAAAGCUACGAAAAGAAAACUACAUAGGUCUUUGUGCUGAAUUUGCCAUUUCUGUUAAAUGGUACAGCUGUUCUUGAAGUCUUCAGACUCUGAAUCAUCGCUGAUGUCUCCAUCUUAUCAGUCACAGAGUCCUCUAGAUACUCUUUUCACAAUAUUUCUUGGGGUGCCCCUUCCUUCUAUUUGCCUGCCACCACUCCAGCUCAGACCUUGUCGUGUCAUACCUGGGCCAUUUCACAGGCUGCAUUGACGGAGCUCUCUACUCUACCCUGAUCCAGGCAGCCAGAUGAGUUUCCCUGAGGCAGUUCUUUCAUCACAUUGCUCCCUGCGCAGAAAUCUCUGGUGGUUCUUCUCUGCAUCUCCAAUAAAGGCUGGAUGCCUUAGCUCAGGCUUCCAUAACCUGGUCCCACCCAGUGUUGCAGUAAUCAUACUCAAACUCUAUGCUCCAGCAACAUUUUCCAGCUUUACUUUCUAUGAACAUAUAUUGCAUUUUCCUGACUCUGUGGUUUGCUCAACUACUGGUCAUUCUGGAAUCACCUUUUCCCUCUACUUUUACUUCUGCUCAUUCUUUAGUGCCCGACUUACAUGUCACCUCUUCUAUGGUCUCUCUCCCCAGGGGCCCCAUUGGAUGUAAUUUUCUCAUCUCUGAACAGUCUAGCAUUUUGUGUCACUCCCAUUUUAUACACCAUAUUCAGCACUCUAUUCUUUCUUCAGUUGGGCAAACUUUCUUCCCCUUGGGUAUAGUCAGUCCAUUCUAGAAUUUGAGCCUUCUUCCUUGGAAUUCCUUAUGCUUGGCUCAACCUUCCUAUCUAUUUUAUGCCCCACUCUAUGUUACAGAAAACCCUAAAUUGAGAUCAUAAGACUUAGACUUGAUCUUCUUAAUCUUCUUCCUUGAAAUUGUCUGCUUCUCAAUUCACUAAAACAUGGUUUCUGCCCCUCUAAAUGCUAUCAAAAUUGACUGGCGAAGGUCAUCAUGAACCCCAUUUGCUAAAUCUAAUAAACUCAUGUAUGAGAGGGAGUGCAGUGCAGGAGGGCUGACUGACGCUGCAGCUGGAUGGACUAGGACUGGAGCCCAACUUCCCCUUUUACUGUCUCUAUCUUGUACGAGUUACCUGACUUCUUCAAGGACUAGUUUCCUCAUCUUUGAAGUGAGGAGGAAUAAUAGUGCCUUCUUACAAAGAUUGUUGUAAAAAUUAAAUGAGAUGAUGUUCAUAGAGUGUUUGCACAGUGUUGGACACCACGAAGUGCUCUGUAAAUAUUAGCUGCUGUAGUUAUUGCACCAUAAAGUCUAGGACCAUUGCACUGGCUCUGCCUACCCUUCUUCACCCUCAAUUCUUGUUGAAGCCCUUCCUUCCUGCCCAUCCCAUAUACUUUAUGCUUCAGUUAUGGAAGACUGCAUAUAGGCUCCCAAACACACUCACUCUGGCCCUUCUCUGAGUUUUUGUGCUUGCUCUUUCUUAGACCAAGAAUCUCCUUUACCCAUUCCUUAUUUGCCCAGUAGACUCCUAUUCAUCUUUUGAAACCUAAUUCAUAUGUCACCUUCUAGUAAAGCCCGCCCUCCUUUUCCCCAGUCAAGGAAUUUACUUUCUCCUCUAUGUAAUCUUUGUACCUUGCAUGUGUUUCCAUUGUUGCUCUUACCACAUUGCACUAUAACUUCUGUGUUUACACUGACAUCCCCCAGCUGUAAACUCCUUGACUCUGUUCUCUUUUCGGUUCCUACCACAGCGUGUGGCACAUACUAGACACUCAGCAAUAUUUGCUGAAUGAAGUGGAAGGAGGCAAAGCUGGGAAACGGCAGAGGCAGGACUCGAAGUCAGGACUUCUUACUCCUAGUCCCGUGUGCUCUCACUGACCUUCCCCCAAAGCCGCAAGCACAUUGAGUCAGUUGUGCAGGUUGUCAUCUACUGUCUCGUGGCCGUGGACUGACCCUGAGAGUGAGAUUUAUUGCCUGGUAUUAGAAAAGCUUUAGAUUCCAGCUCCUCUCAAAGGAGUUGUGCAAAGAAGGGACUAAAGGACGUCAGAAAACAGUGGGCAUGUGGAAGACUCUGAGGCUGAAGGCAGGAAUCUUCCAAGACCCCAUCAAAAGCAAAAUGAAAACUCUUUUUAAAAGCUCAGUAAAAAGAGAAAGACACUUAAAAAAUUGAUAUUAACGUGAUCUCCAGGCUGUGUUUAUUGAAAGAAUCUUAGGUCCAUAAUCAAAACAAUGUUUUAUCAUUUCCCCUCCAGGCUGGUCACAAGCUACAAACUGGAUCAUUUGACACAUCUCUCGUGCACUUGAAACUCAAAUUGAAACUCUGCCAUUUUAACUGUACAAAGAAAAAUAACUUUUCAAAGCCCCACAUAUAUAUUUUUCUGAUUCAUCCUUUUGAUAUUUUACUUGGACCAAAACCCAAAUUCACUUGGUUUUCUCCAAGCACAUAUUUGGGCUACUUCCAUCAUUGUUCUUGGAAAUGGUUUUUCCUUUUGACAUACUGUAUGUUCAGUAUACAACCUGGUCAACACCAUCACAGGCCACAGCACUGACUCCCUCGUGGGCUGUCAGGAGCAUCUCAAAAAGAUUAUGUCUCCACUUAGGCUCAUCAGCUGCUUGUUUUGCAAUGUUCAGGAAAACACGUGUGUGUGUGUUUAUGUGUUUAUGUCAGCGUGAGUUUUGUGUCUGCUGGGGGAAAUGCUGGGUUAGCAUGUUUUUCAGAGUUUGAAGAAUUUCUGUGGCUUAUUUGCUGAUAUGAAUAAAAGUCAGAACAUGUUUUGGAAAGA
Long non-coding RNA from Equus quagga, 8722 nucleotides. RefSeq lists it as uncharacterized. The transcript has 5 exons. NCBI's taxonomy places the organism in Eukaryota, Metazoa, Chordata, Mammalia, Perissodactyla, Equidae. The record is from RefSeq and is a predicted model, not a curated record.